CAGCACCGAGCCCAAAGCCUCCCACGUCCUCACGGGGCAAGCAGACCGCCCGCCCCCGGGCAUUGGAAGAAGCGCGGCCUUCACCUCCUGGGCUGGCCGGGGAGCAGGCAGCGCGCCCUGCAGCCAGCAGGAGCCCCAAGCACUGCCCGCCUGCAGCAGGCUCGGAUCGGUACCGGGACAACCCACGUGCGCUGCCUUCUGCUUCGCCCUUGCAAUCAGCCCGGCCCAGCUGCAGGUGUGUGCGGUGAGGACACGCGGGCAGGCUCGGCGCCUUGUGCUGCCGCGCGCCUGGCGGUGAGGGCUGAGCCCCGGCCCCGCUGCGGGGCCGUAGGACGCUGCUAUUCGGUCCCAGCCUGCUGCUUUCCCCAGGACGCGGGUUUUGCCGCUCCCCAAGCGAGGCCGUGCGGAGGGCAGCCCCGGAUCAUCAUUAGGCCAGCACGCUCUGCACUGAUGGAAUCUCCUCUUGCUGAUGUUGGCUGUGCUGGAAAGGCGCUUCCUGGCACUCUGCAAAGCUGACCCCGGGCUGUGCUCUGACAUCAAUGACCGGAUUGGCACGUUCCUUCUGCACAGCAGCAGCUAAGGAUAGUGUUGUGAAGGCAUGGAUCUCGGCGCUGCUGGACUUGGGUUCAAAUCCUAGUUCUGCCCAUGACUUGUGUGGCCACUAGUAAGUCACUUUCUUCCCUCUGCGCCUCAAUUUUCCAUCUAUGAAAUGUGGUUAACAAAGCUUUUCCUCUGUUCGUUGUCAGUACAGCCUACAACUCUUUGGGAUGGAGCCAUUUCUACUAACAGCAUGUUAAGCACCUGGCAGAACAAGGCUGCUGCUUUGUUCAGACCUGGUGGUGUUUUCCAAUGAAAUAUUAAGAAUAACACAAGUGGAAACCCCUGCUGGGGUUAGCUCUGUGGCUUCCAGCUUGCGAGCAACCUUUGUCAAGUAAGCACAGCGCAGGGAGAGGCUGUGACCUCCCCAGAGCCCCACGUGCACCUUUCUUUGCAAUGCCUCUUGCCUGGGGACAGCCCUAAUGCUGUAAAUCUUCUUGCACAAGGCAGCACUCCCAUGUCAUUCUGCAGUAUAGGAGAGCAGAGACUUUAUGAAGGUGCUCCCCAUUCACUGCCUGUCUUGUAGAGUUGGAAGGUACCCAAGCAUCUAUCGAAGCGGUGUUAACGCUUUGUAUUUUCUCGGUUUUAAAGCUGGAGUGUUUAGUUAAAGCCUGCACAGGUGGUUGCAUACAAUGGCUCCCUCUGCCAAGUUACAAAUGUGAAGUUUACUGGAAAGAAAAAUCAUAAAGUCAAAGUUUAUUCAUGGUUUUUGCAGGUUGUAAAUGUACGGAAAUGAGACCACUCACUUGCAGAUGGACACAACGUACGGCUAGCGUGACACCUGAAAAUGCCACUCCAUUAUAAGUGAGACUCAGAGCAAAGGGCAAAAGCCUCCUUUAACAUUACAGUUCUACGCAUGGUUUGGAUUUUACAAACCAAGUAUGGUCUGAGUGACAUUGUCACAGUGAUUGUAGCUUUGAAAACAUUGCUGCAGAAAACAAUUGUUCAAGAAAUAUAUGGAUGUAUGGCACUG
Molecule: long non-coding RNA, 1570 nt
Organism: Numida meleagris (helmeted guineafowl)
Lineage: Eukaryota; Metazoa; Chordata; Aves; Galliformes; Numididae
Source: Ensembl